This is a long non-coding RNA of Aethina tumida (small hive beetle), 1360 nucleotides long. RefSeq lists it as uncharacterized. NCBI's taxonomy places the organism in Eukaryota, Metazoa, Arthropoda, Insecta, Coleoptera, Nitidulidae. The record is from RefSeq and is a predicted model, not a curated record. The transcript has 4 exons.
CAUGUGUUAAAUUGUGUUUUCAUUCAGUUUUGACACAGUUUGAAUGACUGCCAUGUAUUUCCCCCUUUUCACACUGAUAAUUCUCUUUACGCAUCAUUUCUUCCUUCUAAUUUUUUUUUAUUAGUUUUCGAUAUGAAGAAAUGGACAUAAGAGAAAAAAACAAAGUUUCAUCAUUAUACAUUAUACGAGUAACAUUCACAACUGACUGAUAUAAAGGACAAGCAAAGGUUUACAGUUCAAUGGAGACAAUCGUUAUCAAGGAAAGUGUUACUGGAACUUAAAUAAUCAUCUCCAUCUACAAUGAUCCAGAUUGAAGAAGAAUCUUGGAAGACGUCGAUUUUUAAUCAAUGUUCGUAAAUUUUUGUCAAUACAGUGACUACGAAGUCUAGCACAAGAUUUCCAAUAUCGUUACUUGUAGAAAAUUUUAGCAGGAGUGGAAUAAUGUGCAGAGCGAUCUGUCAGGAUGAAACGGGGUUUUCGAUAUGAAGAAAUGGACAUAAGAGAAAAAAACAAAGUUUCAUCAUUAUACAUUAUACGAGUAACAUUCACAACUGACUGAUAUAAAGGACAAGCAAAGGUUUACAGUUCAAUGGAGACAAUCGUUGUCAAGGAAAGUGUCACUGGAACUUAAAUAAUCAUCUCCAUCUACAAUGAUCCAGAUUGAAAACGAAUCUUGGAAGACGUCGAUUUUUAACCAACGUUCCUAAAUUUUAGUCAAACAUACAAAUUUUCGUCAAAAUAGUGACAACGAUGUCUAUCAUUAGUUUUCCAAUAUCCAAUUCUAGCAAGAAUGGAAUAAUGUUUAAAGCGAUCUGUUAUGAUGAAAGAGUAGUAAAUGGAUGUCUAUCCGUUAGAUUGUAUUAAAACUGAAAGGAAAUGCAGUUAAUUUUAUUCAGUUUAGACCUAAUUUGAAUGAUCGUCAUGUAUUGACCUCAUUUUUCAGAUUGAUAACUCUCUUUGCGCAUCUAUAUCUUCUUGCUAAUUUUUAUCUUAUAACUUCUCAAUUAGUAUAAACUGACAUAAGUUGAAAAAACAAUCUUUACCAUUUUGAGUAAUCAACUGUGUCGUAUAUAAGAUAAGCAAAAGUUUAGAGUCCAUUGGAGACAUUCCUUCAUCAGAGAAACUGACAAUGGGACUUAAUUAAACUCUCCAUCCACAAUGACCAGUUUACCAGUUAUUUAUAUAACUCAAUUGAAACAAAUAUAUCUAAAAAGAUUAUGGUAUGGAUUAUGUUUGGUUUAAUUGCAGAAUGAAAACCAAAUUAUGGAGAUGCCGAUUAUCAUUAACAGGGAUGGAUUAAGUGCGUGCCAUUUCGUUAAAUUGUAUCAGAACUGAAAGUAAUAAAUGGUUAUUAUUAUUA